CCCUCGGUAUGACAUCACUGCUGGACAAAGCAACAAGGAGUGGUUUCUCUGAAGACAACCGUCCCAAAUCAAUGGAACACACUCACACACUCUGAAAAAAUCCUCCUAUUGCUUUAUCCACCGUCUAAACCAACUGUUAUCGUGUCGACAGCGGUUCUAGUUUUGCUUUGUUCUAAGAGGAACCACUCUGGAAAAUCACAUCGGCUGUGUUGCUCAGCGAAAAGAGUCACCGCCGCUGGAUGGUUACUGUUUUUUUUUAAGUUUCGCCCCCCACUAACAUGCACUGUGUCUGAAGAAGUUGACCUGCGGUUCGAAUCCACGUUGGAAGACCAUGCUGUCCCUCCUGCUUCCUGCAAUGCUGGCCGUCCAAGCUAUGGCUGUGGUGGAAGUGCUUGUCCCAGAGCAGCCAGUGGUGGCGCUGCACGGCAAGGAUGCCAUACUUAGCUGCUCCUUCAACCACACCAGCCCCUUUGACCUGUCUGAUGUGAGCGUCUUCUGGCAGCUGACAGACACCAAACGCAGUGUGCACAUGUACAGGGAGGGACGCGACCAGCUGGUGGACCAGGCUGAGAGAUUUGCCAACCGUACCAGCCUGUUCCCCGCCCAGCUGGGCCUGGGCAACGCUUCGCUUCUGUUGAGCCGGGUGGUGGUGGCUGAUGAAGGCAGCUAUACCUGCUUCGUCAGGGUGAAGGACUACAGCAGUGCUGCUUUGCUGCUGCAGGUGGCCGCCCCCUAUUCCAAGCCUGUAGUGACUUUGGAGCCUGAAUCCAACCUGCGGCCAGGUGAUGAGGUGGCCUUGACUUGUGAGGCCUAUGGCGGUUAUCCUCAAGCUAGUGUGAUAUGGCAAGAUGGGGGCGGGCGCAACUUGACGGACAAUUUCACCACUUCAGUGGUGGCCAAUGAGGAAGGGCUGUUCACUCUGACCAGCAUGCUGACAGUUGUGCUGGAGCCCAACAGCACCUACAGCUGCCGACUGAUCAAUCCACUACUGGGUGAGGAGGGCUACUCCUUUGUCACAAUCACAGGUCAGAACAUCGCGUUCCCCCCAGUGGCUCUGUGGGUAACUGUUGGUCUGGCCGUGUGUUUGCUGGUGCUGCUCAUUGCCCUGGCUGCUGUCUGCCGCAGGAAGAUCAAGGAGAGCUGCGAGGAGGCCAGGAGAGAAGCUGAAGAGGCCAAGGAGCUGGAAGAAGAGGAGUCAAAGACAGCCAUGACACUGCUGAAAAGCUAAGGCCAAGAGAAUAAAGUCUCAGCAGUAAUGCUCUGGAGGACACAGUGUCUCUGGAGGCUAUGGGAGUUGGGGCCAGGCGGCGGGUAAGAGAUGAGUCUGGCGGGUAAUCCCACUCCACCUAUCCAUCAACGUGGAGACUAUUUCCAGCAUCCCCUACAGAAUGUCAAAAGCUUCGCUGAGAAGAUGAGUCCAUCAUCUUCUUUCUAAGACUUUCCCUCGAGUUUCCAUCAAAACACAUAAACACAUCAUGUGCCAUAAUUUUCUAUUGCCCUCCCUCCCUUUACGUCAGUGGAGGGCCAGGACAGUGAGUGAAUGCAGUUGAGUGGGUUGGGUUGUAUGCAGUAUGCAAAAGAGAGGCUGCGUUUGAAAACUACAGGAUGUGACAGGAUCCUCUCUCUGCCGCUGACAUCACUCUGUAUGGCUUGUGAUGGGGCAUGUGCCAGAGAUCUCCUAUCUAAUAGGAAGUGAGACACUUAAAGAGAUGACCCUGCCUCAGUUGCCAUCACUGUCUCUCUGCCAGAGAGGGAGCUUGGCUCUCCCAUUACUCCUGCACUUGCUAAUUAGCGUCUGUCGUGGAGUAACUUGUACCUGUCAGUGUGUGCCGCUCUCCUAUAUUCAGUAACUUGAGGGAAUUGAAAUUGAAUGCCAGCUAAGCUCCAACAAACUGCAAAUGGUGCAUGGGAUACACCCUGUUUUUCUCACUGACCUGACAGCCUUAUAUGUAAGAAAUUGUUUUUAAUGAACAUGGACAAUCUCAGCUACUUUCUACUGCUUGUGUGAAAUGUUGUAUCUUAUCCAGGCUAGGGGCUGUACAGGUUGUUUUAUUUCAUUUUGUUUAGGUACUUGAGCAAGUCCCUGUGCCAUAUGUCCAUGUUCGAAUGCCAAAGCCAUUUGUGUCAGAUAACCCAGUACCUAUCUACAUUAAAGAGACAUGGUGAAA
Molecule: RNA transcript, 2168 nt
Organism: Micropterus dolomieu (smallmouth bass)
Lineage: Eukaryota; Metazoa; Chordata; Actinopteri; Centrarchiformes; Centrarchidae
Gene: cd276
Gene name: CD276 molecule
Exons: 9
Source: RefSeq, a predicted model, not a curated record